Molecule: ribosomal RNA, 379 nt
Filed under: fungal sp. FLS-2010
Lineage: Eukaryota; Fungi
Description: eukaryotic LSU rRNA
Rfam family: 5.8S ribosomal RNA (bases 65-218)
Source: RNAcentral
UCGCCGGUGGAAAACCAAACUAUGUUUUUCUUUAGCAUCUGAGAGUCUUAUGAAAAUAAGUCAAAACCUUUAACAACGGAUCUCUUGGUUCUGGCAUCGAUGAAGAACGCAGCGAAAUGCGAUAAGUAAUGUGAAUUGCAGAAUUCAGUGAAUCAUCGAAUCUUUGAACGCACAUUGCGCCCCCCAGCAUUCUGGAGGGCAUGCCUGUUCGAGCGUCAUUAGUACCACUCAAGACCUAGUCUUGGCGUUGGGAGACUACCCGGGAGCUACCAUGUAGCUGUUACCCUGUAGCUCCUCAAAUUCACCGGCGGAGUGACGGUUCUACCUCUGAGCGCAGUAAUAUAUCUCUCGCUUCUGUAGGUGCCGUGGCCCUCGCCGC